Small nuclear RNA from Dipodomys ordii (Ord's kangaroo rat), 104 nucleotides. NCBI's taxonomy places the organism in Eukaryota, Metazoa, Chordata, Mammalia, Rodentia, Heteromyidae. The record is from Ensembl.
CUUGCUUUGGCAACACAUACUAAAAUUGACAGAUACAGAGAAGAUUAUAAUGCAUGGUGCCUGCACAAGGAUGAUGCAAAAAAUUUGAGGCAUUCUAUAUUAAA